AGGCCCAUUGAAUAACUCGUGUUCGAGCUCUUUUGACCCGAAGCCAGCGUCUUGUCGACCCGACAUCGAACCGGCAUUGGCCAACCGUAAGAGGCAGCUUCUUUUCUUCGUACCUUCCGAAGUCUGGCGGCAUCCUCCGUCCUGCCCUGCAGGGUGCGGAAUGGUCCGACUCUAAAGGAGGAGGGAAAAGUAAUUCAACAAGUGCCUGAAGCUGCUGUUUUUUCGCUGUAUUCUUGUUCAGUUCGGUCGUCUGGCAUUGUCUGAUUUUUGCGAGUGUCGAGGUCGGUCAGGGAGAGCGAGAGAGAUUGAUGGGUAGAGUCGCAGUUGCAGUGAUCGUGAGCUUAUGGGUCGUUCCCGUGUCCAUUCUUGUGAAUCGCGUCGUUCCCGAGCCUUACAUGGACGAGAUAUUUCACAUACCUCAGGCUCAGCAGUACUGCAGAGGCAAUUUCAGAAGUUGGGAUCCCAUGAUCACCACCCCUCCUGGCUUGUACUAUCUCUCACUUGCCUAUGUUGGGAUUUUGUACCCAGGGAUGAUCUUUACUCGAGCAAUCGCAUCUUUUCCGGAUAUUUGCUCACCAGAAAUUCUUCGUUCCGUGAAUGGUGUCUUGGCCGUGAUAUGCAGUGUUCUUGUAUACGAGAUAAUGACAUUAUUGAGGCCCGGGGUCAAUGAUAGGAAUGCUACAGCUUGUGCAGUGGUUUUAGCAUCAUAUCCUCUACAGUGGUUCUUCACUUUUCUGUAUUACACUGAUGCUGCAUCCCUUACUUUGGUUCUGGCUACGUAUCUUGCUUGCCUGAAGAAGAGAUACUGGAUAAGUGCACUAAUGGGCGCAUUGUCCGUAAUCGUAAGGCAAACAAAUAUUGUAUGGAUGCUUUUUGCUGCCUGCACUGGAAUCAUAGACAUUACCCUUCUUUCUGGAAAGUGUCGUGUAAAAGUAGCUGAUAUUGAUGGUCCAAUCAAUGUAUCAAGUCAGCUAAUUCGCAAGAAUAGUAAUAUCAGCUCAAAUUUGAGAAGGCGAAAGAACAAUGGUGCCGUGGAUACUGGUGAAAAUGUUGGACCUACUGCAAAUAUAUUUUCAUCUGAGAUGCCAGGUUUGCUAGAUGAGAUUAAGGCCAUUUUGUCAACUUCUUGGCAUAUGAAGUGGGAGAUUUUGGUGCAUUUUGUACCCUUUCUCAUGAUCCUCAUGGCCUUUAUUGCAUUCAUCAGGUGGAAUGGAAGCAUAGUGCUUGGUGCAAAAGAUGCACACACUGUUUCUCCUCAUUUUGCACAGGUUAUGUACUUUGGUCUGGUUUCUACACUGGCCAUGGCGCCUGUGCAUUUCUCAUGGGGUCAAGCUGCAAGAAUCUUCCGGUCCUUGUGGAGAAAUAAACCUCUAAGUUUUCUUCAAGUUCUUAUAGCUAUUUGUGCCGGUUUCCUCUCUGUUCAUUUUUUCAGCAUAGCUCAUCCCUAUCUCCUUGCUGAUAAUCGGCACUAUCCGUUCUAUUUAUGGCGGAAGGUCAUCAAUGCACAUUGGUCCAUGAGAUAUCUUCUGGUUCCGCUUUACGCAUACUCGUGGCUUUCGAUUUUCAGUGUUUUGGGAAGAUUUCAAAAAAGGAUCUGGAUUGUAGCUUAUUUUCUAGCUACUGCAGCAAUUCUUGUUCCUGCUCCGUUGAUCGAGUUCAGAUAUUACACUGUGCCAUUCUAUCUUUUGAUGCUGCAUUCUAAUGUUACUGAUAGUCGAAGUUGGUUCCUGAUGGGCUUCCUCUAUGUAAUGACAAAUAUCUUCACGAUGUCCAUGUUUUUAUUUCGACCGUUCCAGUGGAAUCAUGAGCCUGGGAUUCAGAGAUUUAUAUGGUAGCCUUUAGAAAUAGUAAGGGUCUACAGUAUGUGUGCACCUCUUGAUUAUAGUUUCAGGUGUUUCGAGUUAAGGAAUAAAGGCAGAGUGUGUGAGUCUAAAUAUCUACAAAAAGCCAAAGGUAAAAAGUGAAAGGGAAUUUUCUUCAAUUAUAGUUCGAAAUGAGGUUAUAGAUUAUAACUUCAAAUUCCUUUAUUUUUUAUCUAUGAAUUUCUUCAAAAGAAAGUAGAGUAUUAUUUUUUCCAAUACUCAAUUCAUAUCAAUUUUGUAAGGAAAAAAAAAAAAGGAAUCGUGAUGAUUAACAUUAUCUAAAUAGAUGUAUACUCAUGGUCUCUGUCUCUGAUACUGUGUCAUUGACUUUGGACGCUUACUAUGCGUCAAGCUCAACCAGUUCAACUUUGCUACCGAGUAGGCUGGCGAAUGAUGGCUAACACCACCAUGCUUUGCCCUUUGACGUGGUAGAGGAGGUGGACCAAGAGAGUCCAGGUGAUCAUUGCUGUCGCUGUCUUCCUCCUCUCGUCCAAUCCGAGGGCCCCGGCUUGAUCACUGGCCGAUGAUCUCAAUAUGCCCGCUGCUUUAGUUGAUUUGACCUUGCUUCGCGAUGCCGGGGUAAAGAACGCAGGGUUGUAGUGUGUUUGGAUGGGAGUGCACCUACCAUUCCUUGAAGGAUUUCGGAUCUGGCUCCAAAGUUGGCUCAUCCACAUUGAAGUUCGCUUUUGAUGAUAUCUGAUUAUUUCUUUGAAUUUUUGAGAAAUAAGUUUUGUCUUAAACUCAGUUUUGGCGUUGGUUUGUUGCCUCGGGUACUUUGGUUAUGAAAUUUUUCUUUUUGGCUAUGCUACAGAAGUAUGACCUUUUUUCUUCCUUUCGCUAGCCAAGUAGGCAAUAUUAUAUAGAUAAGAGAGGAGUGUACAAGAUAAUUCCAAGAACUGUCCAGAAAUUACAAAACCAAAGUGAGAGUAUCAGCAGCCUUAAGUGCAAGAACAAAAGGAGGAUUGAGGCAUCCUUUAUAUCUACGAGAAAGGUUCCGUCUAGCUAGUUCUUGGGCUGUCAUGGUUGCUUAGCUCGGAGUCGAACUUUCUCUUACAGAGGGCUUCUCUGUCAUGAAUGUCUGAACAUCAUUUACAAAAGCUUCCACUGACCAAGGAGACUCUGAGGAAUAUAUUCUUUCAUGACAUGUAUGCUAUCUCCAUCUAAAUGAGGCGUUGCCAGCUUCGUGAUCUUGCCAGUGGAGAUGCAAUUUUCGCUGCCCAUGCUUCUCCACUUUCUAUUGUGGUGGUCUGCUCCAAGAAAAAUCCUUCUUGAUGUCAUUUCCUGCAAGUGAGAUUGAGCAUUUAGUGUACUUCUCUGUGAAAGAUCCAAUAAGGAGUUGUAUUGAGCUUUUACGUUCUUAAUGCAUUUAUCUAAUCUAAAGCAGCCUUUUCAUGUUUAUGAGAUUCCUCCACAUCCACAAAUAAUCUAAUAGUAGGAGUCUAGAGAUUUUAAAAGGCUCUAUCUCAUCAUCAGCUAGAUCAAUACUUGGAUCUAGAAUUGCCUCUAUCCAUUCCAUUGUCUGUCAGUGUUGGAGGUUAUCGGUUCUAAUGCCUUAACAACCACACCGGUGUAGCCACAUGACAAUAAAAAAGUACAUGUUUGCUCUUUUCAAAGAGAGCAUUACAAAGGACUCUUUAGUUUGUGUUUGCUUGUUGACCAAAGUGAAAGUUUUCUGGCAAUGCUAGAACUCCGGCUGUUAUCCUCUAAGCAUGCAUCUGCUACCUUUCUUAAGAUUUGAUUUUCCUAAUUUGUUUCCACAAGUUCUGUUGCACACCAUUUACCUGUCCAAACCGGCAAGAAGUAGCUGUUGCAAUUCCAGAUUUAACAUUGUAAUUACCAUCUAUGUUUUGGAAGCCAAAUUAACUUAUCUUCAAGUUUAGUGAAACUUAAGGGGAUUCUCAUGACACUAUCACUUCUUCUUUUAAUAGUUUAUAAUAGUUCCACAUUCCAUCCUCCCCUUCUCUUAUUAAAUCAUUCACCUGGUGAGACUAUUUUUUGGUUGGACUCAGAAUCCCUCUAAGUUUGGUACCAAGGGGUCUGUCCAAAUGUUUAUGUUUACCCAUCUCCAACCAUAAAGCAAAUUCCUCUGCUAAGUGUCUCUCUCCCUUGAAUGAUGUCCUUCCAUACUUCAGAGUUGUUGGGCAUUGUGCAACAUGCAAAAACAAGUAUCGCUGACAGUAUUUUUGUCAGAACAAACUGACACACACAGUCUUUUCUUAUCUGUCGCUAGUUGCCAAACUAGUUUUGAUAUGAAAGCUUUAUUGACAUCCUCCAUUUUCCUGAAACCGAUAAGUUCUUUGGUUGGCAUAAACUAUAACUAUCCCAAGCCCGUAGGUUAAGAUUGGGACUUUGAUCUUGCUUAUUUCCCCACCAGAAUUUUCUCAUGAUUCCAUCCAUCUCUUACAGAUUUUUAGGGCACCAUGUCAGUGGAAAAUAUGUGGUUGGGGAUUGAUUGAAGGGCAGAUGACAUAAGUGUCACUCUCCUUGCAAAGGAAAGGAUUCUCCUUUCCAGGUCUCUGUUUUCUUCCUGAACUUAUCCAAAGUGGAUUAAUAUUUUCCCCUAUGUUACUUGAGGCACUUAAUUAGUCCCUCAGUCAGGUGUACUGUGUAGUUGCUGCAUUUCGGUUGCAUUGGAUGGUUAGGUUGUGCAUAGAAGUUGAUCUUUGGUUCUUUAAAGGGAUUAGUUAUUGGCUAGUUAUGUGUUUCAUUCUGUCCCCCAUUUCCUUCUCAGAGCAUAGUAACUAGGUCACAGUUUUUCCUGGAAAAAAGAGAAACUGUUGCCAUGAAUGACAGGAAUUACCUUUCAGAUAUGUCAGUAAUCAUGCAUGCGUGAAUCAAGCAUUCAAUAAAAUUACAUAGUUCAGAAGAACAACUUGGUAAGUGAAUUGAUGUAGAUGAAGGGACGGAGUAUAGUGAACCCUUUUGUAAGUAUUGACCUCAUGCGAUGCGCCUUUGAUUGAA
RNA transcript from Rhodamnia argentea, 4823 nucleotides. It is a transcript of the gene named dol-P-Glc:Glc(2)Man(9)GlcNAc(2)-PP-Dol alpha-1,2-glucosyltransferase, with no coding region annotated. NCBI's taxonomy places the organism in Eukaryota, Viridiplantae, Streptophyta, Magnoliopsida, Myrtales, Myrtaceae. The record is from RefSeq and is a predicted model, not a curated record. The transcript is spliced from 10 exons.